GUGGGGAAUAUUGGACAAUGGGGGGAACCCUGAUCCAGCCAUGCCGCGUGUGUGAAGAAGGCCUUUUGGUUGUAAAGCACUUUAAGCGAGGAGGAGGCUACCGAGAUUAAUACUCUUGGAUAGUGGACGUUACUCGCAGAAUAAGCACCGGCUAACUCUGUGCCAGCAGCCGCGGUAAUACAGAGGGUGCAAGCGUUAAUCGGAUUUACUGGGCGUAAAGCGCGCGUAGGUGGCCAAUUAAGUCAAAUGUGAAAUCCCCGAGCUUAACUUGGGAAUUGCAUUCGAUACUGGUUGGGUAGAGUAUGGGGGAGGAUGGUAGAAUUCCAGGUGUAGCGGUGAAAUGCGUAGAGAUCUGGAGGAAUACCGAUGGCGAAGGCAGCCAUCUGGCCUAAUACUGACACUGAGGUGCGAAAGCAUGGGGAGCAAACAGGAUUAGAUACCCGUGUAGUCC
RNAcentral lists this ribosomal RNA (451 nucleotides) under uncultured bacterium. RNAcentral describes it as "bacterial SSU rRNA". It matches the Rfam family "Bacterial small subunit ribosomal RNA", at positions 354 to 796 of the family's 1533-position model. The record is from RNAcentral.